UGGGGAAUAUUGGACAAUGGGGGCAACCCUGAUCCAGCCAUGCCGCGUGAGUGAUGAAGGCCUUAGGGUUGUAAAGCUCUUUCGCCGGUGACAUGAUGACGGUAACCGGAGAAGAAGCCCCGGCUAACUUCGUGCCAGCAGCCGCGGUAAUACGAAGGGGGCUAGCGUUGUUCGGAAUGACUGGGCGUAAAGCGCACGUAGGCGGCUUGUUUAGUCAGAGGUGAAAUCCCGGGGCUUAACCCCGGGAACUGCCUUUGAUACUGGCAAGCUUGAGCCCGGAAGAGGGUGGCGGAAUACCCAGUGUAGAGGUGAAAUUCGUAGAUAUUGGGUAGAACACCGGUGGCGAAGGCGGCCACCUGGUCCGGUGCUGACGCUGAGGUGCGAAAGCGUGGGGAGCAA
This 399-nucleotide ribosomal RNA is filed under the name uncultured bacterium. RNAcentral describes it as "bacterial SSU rRNA". It matches the Rfam family "Bacterial small subunit ribosomal RNA", at positions 355 to 771 of the family's 1533-position model. The record is from RNAcentral.